This 253-nucleotide ribosomal RNA is filed under the name uncultured bacterium. RNAcentral's name for it is "partial 16S ribosomal RNA". It matches the Rfam family "Bacterial small subunit ribosomal RNA", at positions 524 to 776 of the family's 1533-position model. The record is from RNAcentral.
GACGAACCGAGCGAACGUUAUUCGGAAUCACUGGGCUUAAAGGGCGCGUAGGCGGGCCGUCAAGUCAAGGGUGAAAUCCCCCAGCUCAACUGGGGAAGUGCCUCCGAUACUGGCGGCCUCGAGGGGGAUAGGGGCAUGCGGAACUUCCGGUGGAGCGGUGAAAUGCGUAGAUAUCGGAAGGAACACCGGUGGCGAAAGCGGCGUGCUGGAUCCCUUCUGACGCUGAGGCGCGAAAGCCAGGGGAGCGAACGGG